Molecule: ribosomal RNA, 588 nt
Filed under: Salmonella sp. 32010601201600049SM
Lineage: Bacteria; Pseudomonadati; Pseudomonadota; Gammaproteobacteria; Enterobacterales; Enterobacteriaceae
Also listed under: 1 other name
Description: partial 23S ribosomal RNA
Rfam family: Bacterial large subunit ribosomal RNA
Source: RNAcentral
GGGGAACUGAAACAUCUAAGUACCCCGAGGAAAAGAAAUCAACCGAGAUUCCCCCAGUAGCGGCGAGCGAACGGGGAGGAGCCCAGAGCCUGAAUCAGCAUGUGUGUUAGUGGAAGCGUCUGGAAAGGCGCGCGAUACAGGGUGACAGCCCCGUACACAAAAGCGCAUGUGCUGUGAGCUCGAUGAGUAGGGCGGGACACGUGGUAUCCUGUCUGAAUAUGGGGGGACCAUCCUCCAAGGCUAAAUACUCCUGACUGACCGAUAGUGAACCAGUACCGUGAGGGAAAGGCGAAAAGAACCCCGGCGAGGGGAGUGAAAAAGAACCUGAAACCGUGUACGUACAAGCAGUGGGAGCACCCUUUGGGGUGUGACUGCGUACCUUUUGUAUAAUGGGUCAGCGACUUAUAUUCUGUAGCAAGGUUAACCGAAUAGGGGAGCCGGAGGGAAACCGAGUCUUAACCGGGCGUUAAGUUGCAGGGUAUAGACCCGAAACCCGGUGAUCUAGCCAUGGGCAGGUUGAAGGUUGGGUAACACUAACUGGAGGACCGAACCGACUAAUGUUGAAAAAUUAGCGGAUGACCUGUGGCU